RNAcentral lists this ribosomal RNA (376 nucleotides) under uncultured organism. RNAcentral describes it as "partial 16S ribosomal RNA". It matches the Rfam family "Bacterial small subunit ribosomal RNA", at positions 527 to 896 of the family's 1533-position model. The record is from RNAcentral.
GUAGGUGGCAAGCGUUGUCCGGAAUUGUUGGGCGUAAAGCGCGCGCAGGCGGUUCUUUAAGUCUGAUGUGAAAGCCCACGGCUCAACCGUGGAGGGUCAUUGGAAACUGGAGAACUUGAGUACAGAAGAGGAAAGCGGAAUUCCACGUGUAGCGGUGAAAUGCGUAGAGAUGUGGAGGAACACCAGUGGCGAAGGCGGCUUUCUGGUCUGUAACUGACGCUGAGGCGCGAAAGCGUGGGGGAGCAAACAGGAUUAGAUACCCUGGCAGUCCACGCCGUAAACGAUGAGUGCUAAGUGUUAGGGGGUUUCCGCCCCCCCCUUAGUGCUGCAGCUAACGCAUUAAGCACUCCCGCCUGGGGAUACGGCCGCAAGGCUG